RNAcentral lists this ribosomal RNA (301 nucleotides) under uncultured bacterium. Its description in RNAcentral is "partial 16S ribosomal RNA". It matches the Rfam family "Bacterial small subunit ribosomal RNA", at positions 509 to 807 of the family's 1533-position model. The record is from RNAcentral.
CAGCCGCCGCGGUAACACAGAGGAUGCAAGCGUUAUCCGGAAUUACUGGGCGUAAAGCGUGCGUAGGCGGUGAGUUAAGUCUGCUGUGAAAUCCCCGGGCUCAACCUGGGAAUGGCAGUGGAUACUGGCUCGCUAGAGUGUGUCAGAGGAUGGUGGAAUUCCCGGUGUAGCGGUGAAAUGCGUAGAGAUCGGGAGGAACAUCAGUGGCGAAGGCGGCCAUCUGGGACAACACUGACGCUGAGGCACGAAAGCGUGGGGAGCAAACAGGAUUAGAUACCCCCGUAGUCCCUGUCUCUUAUAC